GUGUUCUGGCUGGCUGGUAGCUGUUCUGUGGUGUACUGACUGGCUGGCUGUUCGGCUGUUCUGUGGUGUACUGACUGGCUGGCUGUUCGGCUGUUCUGUGGUGUACUGACUGGCUGGCUGGCUGGUAGCUGUUCUGUGGUGUACUGACUGGCUGGCUGGCUGGUAGCUGUUCUGUGGUGUUCUGACUGGCUGGCUGGCUGCUGUUCUGUGGUGUUCUGACUGACUGGCUGGCUGGUAGCUGUUCUGUGGUGUUCUGACUGACUGGCUGGCUGGUAGCUGUUCUGUGGUGUUCUGACUGACUGGCUGGCUGGUAGCUGUUCUGUGGUGUUCUGACUACUGUAACUAAGCCUGAACUAUAGUGUAGCUAGCCUGGCAAGGGAGUGGAGCUAAGGCUUCUCUGGCUUGGGUGUGGCAGACAUCUCUUUGUUGGAACAGCUGGGCUGUAUGGAGGGGGGAUUGGGGGUGGACUUAGUAACCAACCACGUGGCUAGUGCUCCAUAAACACCACAUGGAGGAGAGCGGAGCAGUAGAGCACAUUUAACAGCAGCACUGAGGGUGACAACAAAGCACAGAGUGAGAGAGAAAGAUGGACAUACACACACGCUCCUUUGUUCUUUCUCUCUGUCACUUGCUCAUUGGUCAUCACAAAGGCAUCUUGCCCCACCCUCCUUUUGUCUUGUUCUCCUGCGUUCUCAUUCGUUCACCUUCUCUCUCUUUGUGCAGUGGGUGUAUGUCUCUCCUGGACCUCCUCUCAGCCCAUGCUGCCUGGACUGCAGUACUGAUGCUGGUAGUAAUAGUUAUUCUGCUCUGCUGCCUCGGUCCCAUUAGAGGAGAUCGCUAGCCAUAUGCUGCACAUCGUGUUCUGUGGGUUUGUGCAGUGUGCUCACACACACACAGUCAUUUGCAUCAGUGAGGUAGUUAGACGUGGAGCAUACAGCAUGCGAUGAAGGGUUACUGUUCGGACAUAAAAUAGAAGGCAUUAACAACGAGUAUGUAGGCAAACUCCUUACUGCUCUGCUGUAGAAC
Long non-coding RNA from Oncorhynchus tshawytscha (Chinook salmon), 1026 nucleotides. NCBI's taxonomy places the organism in Eukaryota, Metazoa, Chordata, Actinopteri, Salmoniformes, Salmonidae. The record is from Ensembl.